GGGAAUGCUGCUGAGCAUGCAAGUGCAAUCAUGUUUGCUGUAAAGGAUAAGCUUGACAUCAGUCUUGGAGUAGCAAUUGGCUCUUCUAUGCAAAUAUCCAUGUUUGUGGUGAGGCAAAUGUUGAUCGCAAUUCUAUGUGAAUCUGAACUGAAGUUAGCAGAUGAAACAAUCGAACAAAUACUUUAUAAGAUCGAGCUGGAAUCUGCAAACUCUGAAAUUCAGAAAUAGCAUUCUUCAUUUCAAGAUGAGUCUUUUAUAUCCCCAGCUACUACUCCAGAACCUAAAUUGGUGGUUAACUAUAUCCGAACCUUAAGGUCAUCAAACAAGUCACUGAAAGAGCAGCUAGAAAAAGCAAAGAAGAAAGAAGCUGCCUUUAUUGUGACAUUUGCCAAACGAGAGCAAGAAGUGGCAGAAUUAAAGGUCAGUUUAUAUUCCCAUUUGUUUCACCUCGAGCAUCCUGAGCGUAGUUACUCCAUUAGGUUAGAAAGGCAAUCACCCUCUUUAUUUGCUUUCAUAUUGAUGAUUGUAAAUGUCUAUAAAGAUUUUUACUUGCUUUCACUUCUAUGGAGCUAAGAAGUUGAUCAUUACCCCUCUCCAUGCUCUAUAAUCUUGGAUGGGGGCACAAUCGCGGAACCACUUUUGCAGUCAAUGCGGAUGAUUGACUGCUAUUGCAGCUUGAUAUGUCAGUUGGUUAUCUCAUAAACACUUACCAUGCUGUGAGGUUUCUCAAAUUCCUUUACAACGGUGAUAUGGGCAUGCAGCUGAUUGUAAAAUUGGAACACAAUCAAUAUAUAGACCCUAGCUUGACUGUUCGUGAUAGUAUUGUCUCUAAAAAUCUAAUAUGCACAAUAAAUAUAUUGACCUACCUUGACUGUUUAUGAUAGUAAUCUCUUUGAAAAUCUAAUAUUUAAAUCCUACUUGAGAUUGUCCUACAUGUUCACCAGCACGACACCACAGCAGCUCACCAGUACCGCAACACAGAGGACCACGCAGCAGCAGCAGAACCCAGCAAACACAGCAGCCU
Long non-coding RNA from Chenopodium quinoa (quinoa), 1024 nucleotides. RefSeq lists it as uncharacterized. The record is from RefSeq and is a predicted model, not a curated record. The transcript is spliced from 6 exons. NCBI's taxonomy places the organism in Eukaryota, Viridiplantae, Streptophyta, Magnoliopsida, Caryophyllales, Amaranthaceae.